UUUCCGUAGGUGAACCUGCGGAAGGAUCAUUAAUGAGUUGUCAUGGGGUUCGAUGCUGGCAGCCAGUUUUUGGAUGCAUGUGCUUGCCCUAACAAUCAUCUUCUUCCAAACAUCUGUGCACAUUUUUGAGGGAGUCUUGAGUUGGUUGCCGCUCUUGGGUGAUUUUCUCACAUUCCCUUAAAUCAUUAUACGCUAUUAACAAUGUUGAACGUGCUCUGUGCCGCAAGGCCAUUAAUAUAAUACAACUUUUAACAACGGAUCUCUUGGCUCUC
RNAcentral lists this unclassified non-coding RNA (272 nucleotides) under plant metagenome. RNAcentral describes it as "partial contains small subunit ribosomal RNA, internal transcribed spacer 1, and 5.8S ribosomal RNA". The record is from RNAcentral.